Molecule: long non-coding RNA, 501 nt
Organism: Emys orbicularis (European pond turtle)
Lineage: Eukaryota; Metazoa; Chordata; Testudines; Emydidae
Exons: 2
Source: RefSeq, a predicted model, not a curated record
UUGACAUCUGGCACCAGAGCAAAAACUUGCAAAUCUUAAACUGCCUUCACACAAGGAACUUGUGACACAGACAGCUGCAGCCUCACAGCCCACAGGCUUGGACUAGCUACACUCCCUACAAAGGGUACAGAGCCUGGAUUGGAAGAGAACACAGUAGAAGGGCCAUGUUGGGUUUUCAACGUGCAUUCAGGUUGCUCAAUGCAACAGUGAGGAAUCAGAUUGUUCCCAGAGCAAAUAUUGUUUCUGGAGCACCAGAGGAGAUUGUCACUCCAGCUGAUCAAGCCAUCGCGCUGACUGUGAUGUUUGCAACCUUCCUGAUCCCCUCAGGCUGGGUUCUGGCACAUAUCGAGGACUACAAGCGCAAGCCUAGCGAGUGAGAGACAGGAGGAAGCUGCAUCCAGCCUAGUUCAGGAGAAUGGGAAGAGGAGACUAUUGAACGAACCCCUUCAUGGCAAACUGACCUUUAAGGAUUUUAUAAUUAAAACACCAUGAAAAACACAA